Molecule: long non-coding RNA, 2735 nt
Filed under: Bos taurus (domestic cattle)
Lineage: Eukaryota; Metazoa; Chordata; Mammalia; Artiodactyla; Bovidae
Description: long non-coding RNA NONBTAT030505
Source: RNAcentral
GUGACGGGCACUGAUCCCGAACUCCGCCUGUAGGGGGCGCGAAACGGGAACCCUAGCGGUGCUUCUUUGUCGUCGGAAAGAAAGGGCUAAGAGGCUGAGACAGGAACCAAAUGAGCCCUUGCCUUUUUUCCUGUAGUCACUGCUGUCCUACAAUCUUCAGCUAUCCCAGUCCAAUCUACUACUAGGCCCAAGCCAGGUUUUUGAUCUAGCACCUUAUCUAGCCUUUAUGGUUUUUCGCUGAAGACAGAAUUUCUUUGUGAAAUAGGACUAACACAUGCUUUAGAAUUAUAUUUUAAAAAGGUAAAUGAAAAUUAACAUUUAUGUGGCUAUUCUAACUCAUUUUUAAGUGUUAAAGGUUAUACAGGCCAAGUUGCACGAGAGGAGCAUCCAUGUUUGACCACAGUAUUCAAGAAGUUCCAAACUGAAAGGAAUGUCUAUGCUUAGGAUGUGAUGUAGUUCCUUGAUUACAUCCAGAUAUUUCCAAAUUAUCAACUUCCAUUUGAGUAACUAAAUUUACUGUCCCAAUAGAGCUGUGGUUCAGAGGCGUUUCAGUUUGGUGGACCGCAGUCAUGAGGGUUCAUCUCAUUUGCUUAAUGCCAAGUCCUUAGUGCUUUCUAAAUGAAAAAGAAAAGCUCAGUUUUUAAAAUACCUUUUCCAGUUUACCUUUAAUCAAGGAUCUACCUGUAUACUGUUCUGAAACUAAGCAUUUAAGGAUGAAGUCCAGAAAUGUCCCUAUUUCCUACUAGAAUUGUUUUCAUUAUGAAGAUGGGGGUGGGAAAUAAAUUUUUAGAAAGACUCCUUGUCAUAAGAAAUAUGAAUGCGCUUCAGAAAUUUCCCUCCUGAAGAACAGUCUGUGUAUGCAGGCAGAUCUUAUUUAUAUUUGUUUUAGGCAUUUGAAGUCUCAGGAAAGUUGGUCUUGAUCCAAAACACUGGGGAAAAAAAAAUAACACAGACAGUACACCAGUAGUAUUUAAAGUAAUGGCAUCGAAUAGACCCAAUGGAGAAGUCAGAAAGCAAAGAAAAAGCCUGCAGAAGUAAUUUCUCCUGGAACACGGAAACAUCAGGGUCUACCUCACGCUAAAGAGAGGAUCCUUACAUGCUUGUGUGGGCACGUCGGUGUGGACGUGUUGAGGGAGUCGUGUUUACUCAAAGGCUCACACGUGUGAGUGUGUGAACCAAGCACGGCUUGUGACCUGCUUUCAGACCUACAGAGUGGGGGAUGAAAGGAACAGCGUGAUUUCCGAUCCUUGGCCCACCCUAGUCCCAACCCCCAAGCUGCUAGGGACUCAAGAAUGAAUGAGGUAAAGAACAAGAGGGCAAGAGGCAACGUCUCGAGAAUGUGCAUGCCUUUGUGUUGAUGUACAGAACUACAUGUGUGUGACUAUAUCUCCCACCAGACACACACACACACAAACUACAGUCUCACAGCAUAAACAGAAUUGCAUAUGGAACUUGGUGAUGUCAGGUAGGACCCCGAGCAGUAGCAUAGCCUUAUUGCCACGUGUGUGUGUGUGUGUGUGUGUGUGUGUGUGUGUGUGUGUGUACAUUGAAUGGCUCAUGAGAUUUUAAGAGAUUUUUUUUAAUGUAUUUCUACUAAAUGCACUUACCUUCUACAUGUUUAUAUAUUUUGGUAAAAUUGGUUUAUUAGAUACUCGGUAUUUUAGUAAGAUGAAAUUUCCUCACACGUUUGGCUGAUGCUUUGAUGUCAAAAUUGCACAUUGCUGAGCUGAAGCUCAGACGUUUAUGCAGCUUUGGGCAUUUUCAACUGCAGACUGCAGUUCCCUUGGCUAAAAAUUGCACUGCGUGUUCCUGUGCAUUCGCUCACACUCUAACAUGUGUUUGGUCACUGUGACACUGCAGUCACUAACCGCCGUCUCUCUGACGGCAGCGUUGCUAUCACAGGACCAUUGAUUUACUUCUUUUUUGGAGUGAUGACAUGGUUAGGUCAUCACCAAACAUAACACAAGUGGAUGUGAGCAUAAGUGUGUUGUUGGAAGGUGUACAGUUCUGUUUCCUUCAGCUAUCUGAUUCACACACCCAGACUUCUUGUUAAGAAUUUAAUCUUUCAUCCAUGAAAGAACAAUUGGCCAAAAUAAUUAAAUCACCUUAACAAGUGGAAAUUAAGAGGCACUCCAGCUAGAUAGCAUCUCCCAACAACAUCAGAUUUAGUUAGUGCUUAGUGAAAACCCUUAAAUAUAUAUAUGUUUAUGUUUUCCUUGAUAUUAUUUAUGAUCAUCACUACUGCUUUUGUAUUUUUUAAUGGUGUCACAGUUAAACCACUAGUUCACCUGUGUAUCACUUACAAAACUGGCCGGCUGAAAACGAGAGAGAGAAAAUGAAUUCUGUUCUGUUGUUGAGAAGUCGAUUUAUUUUCAUCUUUCUUUCUGUAUCACUAAAAGGAAAAGAGUUGUUUGAAAAUCAUUUUAAGUUCGAUAAGUACGGAUAGCAUGUUAUCUGAAAAUUUUGAUUUGUACAUUUUGAUGUCUGAUGAUUUGCAUGGGAGAGACAAUAGUGCCCUGUCUGGAUUGUUCUCUUGUGCUUGGUUACUAUGUACUUCUCUAGAUUGUUCGUUUCAAAUGCCAUUUCUUACUCUUUGGUUUUCAGAGGCAUUCAAAGCAAAUAUCACAGUGGUCCUUUGUUUUCAGACCAAUCUAAAAAUACCUGUGAUUAAAUUUAAUUUGUUAGUGUAAAUAAAUUUCUUGCCAAUGAGUAUUAUUGUUGUUAGACAACGAAUG